Molecule: ribosomal RNA, 492 nt
Filed under: uncultured bacterium
Lineage: Bacteria
Description: partial 16S ribosomal RNA
Rfam family: Bacterial small subunit ribosomal RNA
Source: RNAcentral
AGUGAACGCUGGCGGUAGGCCUAACACAUGCAAGUCGAACGGCAGCACAGUAAGAGCUUGCUCUUACGGGUGGCGAGUGGCGGACGGGUGAGGAAUACAUCGGAAUCUACUUUUUCGUGGGGGAUAACGUAGGGAAACUUACGCUAAUACCGCAUACGACCUACGGGUGAAAGCAGGGGAUCUUCGGACCUUGCGCGACUGAAUGAGCCGAUGUCGGAUUAGCUAGUUGGCGGGGGAAAGGCCCACCAAGGCGCCGAUCCGUAGCUGGUCUGAGAGGAUGAUCAGCCACACUGGAACUGAGACACGGUCCAGACUCCUACGGGAGGCAGCAGUGGGGAAUAUUGGACAAUGGGCGCAAGCCUGAUCCAGCCAUACCGCGUGGGUGAAGAAGGCCUUCGGGUUGUAAAGCCCUUUUGUUGGGAAAGAAAAGCAGCAGGUUAAUACCCCGCUGUUCUGACGGUACCCAAAGAAUAAGCACCGGCUAACUUCGUG